RNAcentral lists this ribosomal RNA (433 nucleotides) under uncultured bacterium. RNAcentral describes it as "partial 16S ribosomal RNA". It matches the Rfam family "Bacterial small subunit ribosomal RNA", at positions 29 to 507 of the family's 1533-position model. The record is from RNAcentral.
AACGAACGCUGGCGGCAGGCCUAACACAUGCAAGUCGAGCGCGCCCUUCGGGGUGAGCGGCGGACGGGUGAGUAACGCGUGGGAACGUGCCCUUUUCUACGGAAUAGCCUCGGGAAACUGAGAGUAAUACCGUAUACGCCCUUUGGGGGAAAGAUUUAUCGGAAAAGGAUCGGCCCGCGUUGGAUUAGGUAGUUGGUGGGGUAAUGGCCUACCAAGCCGACGAUCCAUAGCUGGUUUGAGAGGAUGAUCAGCCACACUGGGACUGAGACACGGCCCAGACUCCUACGGGAGGCAGGAGUGGGGAAUCGUAGACAAUGGGGGCAACCCUGAUGGAGCCAUGACGGGUGAGUGAUGAAGGCCUUAGGGUUGUAAAGCUCUUUCAGCUGGGAAGAUAAUGACGGUACCAGCAGAAAAAGCCCCGGCUAACUCCGUG